RNAcentral lists this transfer RNA (81 nucleotides) under Nephroselmis olivacea. RNAcentral's name for it is "tRNA-Leu". It matches the Rfam family "tRNA". Rfam says of the family: Transfer RNA (tRNA) molecules are approximately 80 nucleotides in length. Their secondary structure includes four short double-helical elements and three loops (D, anti-codon, and T loops). Further hydrogen bonds mediate the characteristic L-shaped molecular structure. tRNAs have two regions of fundamental functional importance: the anti-codon, which is responsible for specific mRNA codon recognition, and the 3' end, to which the tRNAs corresponding amino acid is attached (by aminoacyl-tRNA synthetases). tRNAs cope with the degeneracy of the genetic code in two manners: having more than one tRNA (with a specific anti-codon) for a particular amino acid; and 'wobble' base-pairing, i.e. permitting non-standard base-pairing at the 3rd anti-codon position. The record is from RNAcentral. Lineage: Eukaryota; Viridiplantae; Chlorophyta; Nephroselmidophyceae; Nephroselmidales; Nephroselmidaceae.
GGCCCUAUGGUGGAAUUGGUAGACACGUCGGUCUUAGAAACCGAUGCUUUAUGCUUGAGAGUUCGAGUCUCUCUGGGGGCA